This is a long non-coding RNA of Astatotilapia calliptera (eastern happy), 531 nucleotides long. The record is from Ensembl. Lineage: Eukaryota; Metazoa; Chordata; Actinopteri; Cichliformes; Cichlidae.
CAAUACUUGGGUUGCAGUCACGUGGUUCUGAUGACGUGCGGAGGCAGCGCGAUUUUUGAGUGGAGGGCGGAAGUAAACAUGGAGGACACUGUGGAGAGUCAGGAGAGCAGCUAUUGUGCAACUUUAGACCCCGUUUCUCGGGAGAGAUAUAAACAGAUAGUUAAAAAAUAUAUCGGACGUGAUCCGUAUUCUUUGAAAAUGUCCGAAUACACCACAGAAGUAAAGGAUUUGCCUACUAUCGACGCUGUGGAUAUCACCAACUACUUGGUCCUCCAGACUUCUUACUACACUAGGGAGCAAAUGAAAGCUUUCAAGAGUCUGGAGGCGUACAAUUUUUUUGUCAGCGGGUGGGUCCACAACCUUGGAACAAAACGUCUCCGUGAUGGAUACAGUUUGGUGUUUGCAAGGGUAAACCAUUCUCAGAGGUCUAACGAGACACCUCUGAAGACUUGGGUAAUUGCAAAGGAGGAUGGAGAAGUGAUUGCAGCCCAUUGCAAUUGUAUGGCAGGACUAUCAGAAUCAUGCUCGCAC